GAUGAACGCUGGCGGCGUGCUUAACACAUGCAAGUCGAACGAGAGGUGAAGACGGAAACCUUCGGGCGGAAGGCUUUAUUUCGAGUGGCGGACGGGUGAGUAACGCGUGGGUAACCUGCCUCAUACAGGGGGAUAACAGUUGGAAACGACUGUUAAUACCGCAUAAGACCACAGCACCGCAUGGUGCGGGGGUAAAAACUCCGGUGGUAUGAGAUGGACCCGCGUUCGAUUAGCCAGUUGGCGGGGUAACGGCCCACCAAAGCGACGAUCGAUAGCCGAUCUGAGAGGAUGACCGGCCACAUUGGGACUGAGACACGGCCCAAACUCCUACGGGAGGCAGCAGUGGGGAAUAUUGCACAAUGGGGGAAACCCUGAUGCAGCGACGCCGCGUGAGUGAAGAAGUAUUUCGGUAUGUAAAGCUCUAUCAGCAGGGAAGAAAAUGACGGUACCUGAGUAAGAAGCCCCGGCUAACUACGUG
This 478-nucleotide ribosomal RNA is filed under the name uncultured bacterium. Its description in RNAcentral is "partial 16S ribosomal RNA". It matches the Rfam family "Bacterial small subunit ribosomal RNA", at positions 28 to 507 of the family's 1533-position model. The record is from RNAcentral.